RNAcentral lists this ribosomal RNA (628 nucleotides) under Chama croceata. RNAcentral describes it as "bacterial SSU rRNA". It matches the Rfam family "Eukaryotic small subunit ribosomal RNA", at positions 51 to 661 of the family's 1831-position model. The record is from RNAcentral. Lineage: Eukaryota; Metazoa; Mollusca; Bivalvia; Venerida; Chamidae.
AUGCAUGUGUAAGUGCACGCACUCUCCUAACGGCAAAACUGCGAAUGGCUCAUUAAAUCAGUUAUAAUUUGUUGGGUCUUCAGUUUUCCUACUUGGCAUAACUGUGGCAAUUCUAGAGCUAAUACAUGCAACCAAGCUCCGACCUCACGGUGGGAGCGCUUUUGUUAGCCUUAAAACCAACUCCGGUGCUCCUCGCGGGCCCGGGACCGGUUUGGGGACUCUGGACAACUGCCAAUCGCACGCCCUUGUGGCGGCGAUAGAUCCAUCAAGUGUCUGCCCUAUCAACUCGACGCUAGGCUCUGCUGCCUAGCGCGGUGAUAACGGGUAACGGGGAAUCAGGGUUCGAUUCCGGAGAGGGAGCCUGCGAAACGGCUACCACAUCCAAGGAAGGCAGCAGGCGCGCAAAUUACCCACUGCCGACACGGCGAGGUAGUGACGAAAAAUAACAAUGCGGGUCUCUUCCGAGGCCUCGUAAUUGAAAUGAGUACACUUUAAAUCCUUUAACGAGGAUCGAUUGGAGGGCAAGUCUGGUGCCAGCAGCCGCGGUAAUUCCAGCUCCAAUAGCGUAUACUAAAGUUGCUGCAGUUAAAAAGCUCGUAGUUGGAUCUCGGGUGCAGGCUUGCGGUCC